Molecule: long non-coding RNA, 321 nt
Filed under: Callithrix jacchus (white-tufted-ear marmoset)
Lineage: Eukaryota; Metazoa; Chordata; Mammalia; Primates; Cebidae
Description: lncRNA (ENSCJAG00000054348.2)
Source: RNAcentral
AUGAGAAGGACAUUUCAGCAGUUGGAGUAUGGUGACAACAUGUCCUCACUACUCUCCUCUUGUAAGGCAAGCCAUCUCCGAUCUCCUGGAAGAUCCGUUCUCCUCUAUCCUGUUGUUGGGGUGAAUUUAUGGCAGAGGGAAAGGGAAUUUUGUAUCAGGAUUGAGAGUCAGGACAAAAAAUAAAAGCCCUAGUAUGUUGGAAGGAGGUCAUUGGGCCCCGUUGUAAAGACAUGAAUGUGGAAGAUGAAGAAGACAUUAAUCAUAGACUUAUCAACGCCCCCAAAAGAUCUGUUCCCACGACUGAAGCAACUCUGGCCUUUG